Long non-coding RNA from Carassius gibelio (silver crucian carp), 1697 nucleotides. RefSeq lists it as uncharacterized. The record is from RefSeq and is a predicted model, not a curated record. Lineage: Eukaryota; Metazoa; Chordata; Actinopteri; Cypriniformes; Cyprinidae. The transcript is spliced from 2 exons.
GCUUUUAAUACAAUUGUUUUUUUUUCAGUUUAAGUUUCAUUUGUUAAUUUGUAAAUAUAUUGUUUUAUGCAUACCAUGUGUAUUAAUUUCUUAUUGCUCCGUAAUGUCUAAUUUCUCCGUCAUUUAUUUUUUGCGUCAUUUUCUUUUUUUUUUGCACUCCGCGGCUGCCGUAGACUACUACGCCAUCAUUUAUUUACAUGACGCAUCGUCGUCGCGCCAAAACACAAUGUGAGAGGUUACUAUAGCGGCUAUGGAGAAGUUAGUCACGACACAAAAACUACCCAAAAUAGACCGUUUUUCUUGCCUACAUAACGUUAGUGCGAAGGACAACAACGACGUCGAAGGUGAGAGGCACGUCUUUGGAUGAGAAAGCUUGAUGAGGUGCAGAGAGUCUGGGCGCAAAGAAGCAGUCGCAGACGAGCCAAAAGCUGGAUAUUCGGUGGGAAAUAUGCAUAGACAGUAAAAGAAAUAUGUCAAAAAAAAUUAUUGGCGGAGCACCAUGUCGCAAAACAGACUAUCGGGACUGGCAAUUCUUUCCAUCGAGAAUGCACAAAGCCGUGAAUUAAACACCACGUUCAUCGUGGAUGAAUUUGCCGAAAGAAAGGCCUGGAGAAUGCAACUAAAAUGACAGGAGCGCCUCUCACCCCUCCGGCUGCUGCAGCGUGUUCCUCAUCGUCUUGAUCUGCUGGAAAUGGCAGGACAUAUCUGUGCUCAUGACCAUCUCGAUCACCAGCGUCCGCAGCUCCCUGUGGAAAACACAAAACAGCACAACUCAAAGCACAUGCACUCCCCCACAACAGAUCCUCCAUUCCUCGCAGGAACGAGCCCCAGCGUACCUCCAGUCGUCCUUCGGGAGGUUGACCAGGAUGUUCAUCUCAUCUUCUUGCAUGAGUCUGUAGGCUGCGCUCACGUGGUGGUUUUCCAGAACCGAGCGAUCGUUGUACAGGAUGGCCACUUCUGAUCUGUGCAGGACCAAAGAAAGAAGAGCCAAAGAUAUCUGUGUAGUACCUUUAAGGUUAGUGAAGGUUAGUUCACUCAAAAAUGACAAUUUCAUCAUCAUUUAGUUGCCUUUACAUCAUUUCAAGUCUUUCUUUCUUUUUUCCGUGGAACACAAAAGAUGUUUUUAAUGGAAGCUUAUUGUCACCAAGGGCUGUCAAGCUUCAAAAAGGACCAUAAAACAACAUAAAAGUAGAUCAUAUGACUCAUACAGUACCUUUUAAGUGUUCUGAAGUUUUGUGUGAAGAAAUGACGGAAAUUUCAAAGUGAUUUUGGCUGAAAAUACUGCACUUAGUUGUUCAAACCUGUCAGGCUGUAACCAGCGAUGUGACGCACAAGAACUAAUUCGGCAUCAUUGAUGUUAAACUUUGCAUGAUGGAUACAGUACAUACCUUUGGUAAUGAAAAGAAUUAGGGCUUUAUCAUUUAAUGUAAAUUACAUAUUUUAUUGCACCAGUUUAAAUAUUGGAAUGCACACUUUCUCUCUCUCUUUUUUUGGUAUGAAAUGGAGCAGCUUGGACAUGCAUUAGAUUUUCUCAUUCUGUGUCCCAUGCAAGAAGAAAUGAAGUUACAAAUAUUUAUUCUCUACUUCAUUAGGAAAUGAAAAUAACCUGCUGUAUAUUAUAUAUUGUUUUUAAUAGAAGCCUCUUAUGCUCAUCAAUGUUGCAUUUAUUUGAUUAAAAAAUACAGUAAAAACUUUAA